This 692-nucleotide unclassified non-coding RNA is filed under the name uncultured soil eukaryote. RNAcentral describes it as "sequence contains 5.8S rRNA gene, ITS2, 28S rRNA gene". The stretch from base 283 to 692 matches the Rfam family "Eukaryotic large subunit ribosomal RNA", at positions 1 to 418 of the family's 3401-position model. The record is from RNAcentral.
AACUCUCAGCGAUGGAUGACUCGACUCUCACACCGAGGAAGGACGCAGCAAACCGCGAUAAGCAGUAUGACUUGCGAAAUUUCGUGAUUCACCAGAUCUCUGAACGCAAAGGUACUUCUGGCCUCGGCCUGAAGUAUGUUUGGCUCGGUAUCACAUAGAUUUCCCACCAAUCUCUGGAUUGAUGGGCACAUACAACGUCUGAAGUCGUUGUUCAAUGAGGCUAAUUGUAUUGACUCAUACAGUGAAAUGAUGAGUCUUUUACAUCAAGCUUUUCAUAAAUCAUGAUCCGAGCUCAAACAAGGCUACCCGCUGAAUUUAAGCAUAUAAUUAAGCGGAGGAAAAGAAACCAACUGGGAUUCCCGUAGUAGUGGCGAACGAAGUGGGAAGAGCCCGCGAUGUAAAUCCGUCUCUGAUGGAGUUGUGCAUCGAGUCCUUGGCUAACGAGACACUAGAGGAAAGAUGCCUGGAAAGGCGCGCCAGAGAAGGUGACAGCCCUGUUCUUACUCUAGAUUGACUUGUGUUCAGCCUUGGUCUAAUGAGUCACGCUCUUUGGGAGUAGAGCGCAAAAUGGGUGGUAACCUCCAUCCACGGCUAGAUAAUGGUGAGAGAUCGAUAGCAAACAAGUACCGUGAGGGAAAGUUGAAAAGCACUUCGAAAGGAGAGUUAAAAUACCUGAAAUCGCUGAGGGGGAA